ACCAUCGACAGCGACGAACUCAUCUCCUAUAUUCUUGCCGGGCUGGAUGAGGAAUACAACCCUGUUGUGACCUCUCUGGUUGCGCGGGUGGAGCCACUGACUUACGCCGAGGCCUACUCACAGCUGCUUAGCUUCGAGC
This is a small nucleolar RNA of Phragmites australis (common reed), 139 nucleotides long. RefSeq annotates it as small nucleolar RNA Z247. NCBI's taxonomy places the organism in Eukaryota, Viridiplantae, Streptophyta, Magnoliopsida, Poales, Poaceae. The transcript has a single exon. The record is from RefSeq and is a predicted model, not a curated record.